RNAcentral lists this unclassified non-coding RNA (635 nucleotides) under Hevea brasiliensis (rubber tree). Lineage: Eukaryota; Viridiplantae; Streptophyta; Magnoliopsida; Malpighiales; Euphorbiaceae. The record is from RNAcentral.
AAGCUAUGGGGAAGAAAGCAAGUGGAGUAGGAGAAGGAGGAGAUGGAUCCACUGGAAAAGAAGGUUACAAGCUUCUGGGCAAUCCGACUUUCAAAAAAUUGGAGAAUGGCCGCUUCAAAUGCGUUCAAACAGGGCAUGAGCUGCCGGAACACGCUAGGGACUCUUAUGCCCACAGCAAGCACUGCCGCUUGGGUCUAAUUGAUGCUGCACUUUCUAAGAAUAAACCUCCUCUCAAUAUGUUUAACCAAGAUCCUCUCAAUCGGUCAAAGUUGAUAUGUAAAUUAACAGGAGAUACAGUUAAUAAGUCAGAGGAGCAUAUAUGGAAACACAUGAGUGGAAAGCGCUUUCUCAGAAUGUUAGAGAAAAAGGAAACUGAAACUGAAAUGGAAAAUGGAGGGCUAGAAAAGCAAGUAGAAAAUGAAGCGGCUAAGAAGACGGACAGCAAAGCCAAUCGUCGGGACAAAAAGAAAAACAAAAAGAAAGAAAUAGAAGAUGCUAGCAAGGUUAUAUCUGAAAUAAGGGAUUCUUCUGGAAAGAACAGUGGCUCUGAAGAUGAUGAUGAGUUUUGGAUGCCUCCAGUUGGUGCUCGCUGGGACAAUGAUGAUGGAGGUGAUCGAUGGGGAUCUGGUUCGGAA